AAUACAGAGGGGGCAAGCGUUGUUCGGAAUUACUGGGCGUAAAGGGCGCGUAGGCGGCCUGCUAAGUCGAACGUGAAAUCCCCGGGCUCAACCCGGGAACUGCGUUCGAUACUGGUUGGCUUGAAUCCGGGAGAGGGAUGCAGAAUUCCAGGUGUAGCGGUGAAAUGCGUAGAUAUCUGGAGGAAUACCGGUGGCGAAGGCGGCAUCCUGGACCGACAUUGACGCUGAACGGCGAAAGCUAGGGGAGCAAACGGGA
Molecule: ribosomal RNA, 256 nt
Filed under: uncultured prokaryote
Description: partial 16S ribosomal RNA
Rfam family: Bacterial small subunit ribosomal RNA
Source: RNAcentral